UCUUCUUGGGUAUAUCAACAUUCAGUUCCUCACUCUGUUAGAUCGGGGAGUAAUAAUUUCAGUAGAUUGCAAGAAAAGAAAAUCAAAAUCCGUAUCCAAAAAACACAGGAGAUAACCAUGAGAUUGCCUGCUUCUAAUUUUACUAAGUACAUGGGUAUUUUAUAACAGCAGACAAGCCACAUUUGCAGUGACACCAUGAGUUUCUCAGCCUGUAAACACAAAUCCAUUGGUACAUAUUCCACAGCAAUUAAAGAUCAGACACAUGUACUCACAAUUAGCUAAAAUUGCAGCAAGACGAGAUAAUCCAUACCAGUUUUUUUUUAUUAGCUUCCUUUCCAAUACAAAACUGCUAAACUAAACAACGCUGUACUGACUAGCAAUCCAUGCCCAUGCCCAUGCCCACACAUACACAAAGUCGACAGUAAAUCACAGUCGCAGAGUCGACAGUAAAUCACAUUUCCCCUAAUUCAGUUAGCUCCCUGGUUGAACUAGUAGCCACUAAACAAAAUUACAACAGCUAACUAUAAAUCAGGUAGUUAGUUAAGCCUGAAAUCAAACUUGCACAGAUUACGCAAAAAAAUAUACCAGGUUGCGUAGGAAUACCUGCGUGUCCAACCACUCGUAGCCUCAGAGCACACUUGCAACACCGGGUCAUCACCAACAAAUCCCGCUUUGCCGCCGGCGCUGCAGACGUCUCCGACUCGGCGAUGCAAAUAGAAGCCUACUAGGACUCAAUAGGUCGCGCCGCCGCAGUAUGCCCCAACUGCCCAUGG
This 773-nucleotide long non-coding RNA is filed under the name Triticum aestivum (bread wheat). RNAcentral describes it as "long non-coding RNA (TAES_LNC024858)". The record is from RNAcentral. Lineage: Eukaryota; Viridiplantae; Streptophyta; Magnoliopsida; Poales; Poaceae.